RNAcentral lists this long non-coding RNA (685 nucleotides) under Nicotiana benthamiana. RNAcentral describes it as "long non-coding RNA (NBEN_LNC008724)". Lineage: Eukaryota; Viridiplantae; Streptophyta; Magnoliopsida; Solanales; Solanaceae. The record is from RNAcentral.
UCAGUUGAGUUCCCAUUAGAUCAUCCCUUCUGUCCAGUAUCUUCCUUACAACCCAAGAAGCUGCCUUAGGCAAGGGCAUUGUUUCUAUGUCCCUCUGCUUGAUGUAGUAGCUGUGCACCCAUCUAAUCCACAAGAGUCCUUCUUUUUAGGCAAGUUCCAGAGGUGCUUGCUAAUUGCUGCCUUAUUCCAUACUGUCAUGUCUAUAGUAUUUAGUCCACCAGCAGAGAUAGGUCUACAAACAUUGUCCCAUGCCACUAAGGCCUUUCUGGACAGCUUUACACUCCCAGUCCAAAGAAAGGUUCUGCAUAUAGUUCCUACAUACACUGUCUCAUGCCACUAAGGCCUUUCUGCAGCUUUACACUCCCAGUCCAAAGAAAGGUUCUGCAUAUAGUUUCAAUGGCUUUCAAUACUUUCAUAGGCAGGAUGAACACUUGAGCCCAAUAGGUUUGUAUUUAAUCAGUUGACAUCUUCCAGCAAAGGAAAGCAGUUUGGCAGACCAGCAUGUUACUUUAGCUGUAAUCUUCUCAAUUAUUGGUAAGUAGUGGCCAACAGACAGUUUUUUGGAGUCAAGGGGAAUCCCCAUAUACCUGAAGGGAAAUUUGCCUUCAGUGAAUCCCAAUGCUUCCAGAAUCUGUGCCUUGGCAUCCUGAUUUACUCCAGCUAUAUACAAUGCACUUUUUGACAG